GUUCCCAUGAUGUAACGGCUAGCAUACGGAGCUUAUUCCUCCGUCGCGGGGGUUCGAUUCCCUCUGGGAACA
RNAcentral lists this transfer RNA (72 nucleotides) under Yasminevirus sp. GU-2018. It matches the Rfam family "tRNA". From Rfam's summary of the family: Transfer RNA (tRNA) molecules are approximately 80 nucleotides in length. Their secondary structure includes four short double-helical elements and three loops (D, anti-codon, and T loops). The record is from Rfam by way of RNAcentral. Lineage: Varidnaviria; Bamfordvirae; Nucleocytoviricota; Megaviricetes; Imitervirales; Mimiviridae.